Molecule: ribosomal RNA, 367 nt
Filed under: Philothamnus smithii
Lineage: Eukaryota; Metazoa; Chordata; Lepidosauria; Squamata; Colubridae
Description: partial large subunit ribosomal RNA
Rfam family: Bacterial large subunit ribosomal RNA
Source: RNAcentral
CCAGUGAACUAUUUAACGGCCGCGGUAUCCUAACCGUGCAAAGGUAGCAUAAUCAUUUGUCUACUAAUUAUAGACCAGCAUGAAAGGCAAAAUGAGGGUUUGACUGUCUCUUAUAAUUAAUCAAUUAAACUGAUCUCCCAGUAAAAAAGCUGGAAUUACCCCAUAAGACCAGAAGACCCUGUGAAGCUUAAACUCCACUAUUAAACCCAAUAAUAGCCACUUUCGGUUGGGGCGACCUUGGAAAAAAAAAGAACUUCCAAACACAUGGUAUAUACAUAUCACCAAUAGGCCAACAAGCCACACAACGACCCAGCAUAGCUGAUCAUUGAACCAAGUUACUCCAGGGAUAACAGCGCAAUCCUCUUCA